This is a long non-coding RNA of Numida meleagris (helmeted guineafowl), 364 nucleotides long. RefSeq lists it as uncharacterized. The transcript is spliced from 3 exons. The record is from RefSeq and is a predicted model, not a curated record. NCBI's taxonomy places the organism in Eukaryota, Metazoa, Chordata, Aves, Galliformes, Numididae.
AAACGACAAAACCCCCUGUGGUCCCUCGUGUGUUUAUUGGGAGAACAUGCAUUGGAGGAUUUUCAGAUCUGCAGAAGAUGCAACAGCAGCUCCCCACGAUGCUACACCAGAUUGGUGCUCUGGUGUAGCUGAAGGGAGAGAUGACCACAAACUGUGACCUCACCAUUUCGACAUGCACACAUCUUGGAGCAGUUUCCUUCCAUCUGCUUUCUGUAGGACCGAAUGCAUCUUUGUGGGGAAUGUGACUUCUCUUUUCAUUCUUGUGUGCCUCAAUAUGCCACAUCUCUUCAUACUUUCUGUAGUUCUGGAAAGAAGUCUGGACUGUUAAACGAUUUAGCUCAAUAAAAUAUACUCGUACAAAGUG